CCUANGGGUGGCAGCAGUCGAGAGGCUUUGGCAAUGGGGGAAACCCUGACCAAGCGACGCCGCGUGGAGGAUGAAGGCCCUUGGGUUGUAAACUCCUUUUGCCGGGGAAGAAAUGCGACCAGGUGAACAAUCUGGUCGUUUGACGGUACCCGGCGAAUAAGCUCCGGCUAACUCCGUGCCAGCAGCCGCGGUAACACGGGGGGAGCAAGCGUUGUUCGGAAUCACUGGGCGUAAAGGGCGUGUAGGCGGUCAAGUAAGUGGAAUGUGAAAUACCCCGGCUUACCCGGGGAACUGCAUCCCAAACUGCUUGGCUCGAGUAUGGGAGAGGAUGAGGGAAGUCCUGGUGUAGCGGUGAAAUGCGUAGAUAUCAGGAGGAACACCGGUGGCGAAAGCGCUCAUCUGGCCCAAUACUGACGCUGAGGCGCGAAAGCUAGGGGAGCAAACGGGAUUAGAUACCCCGNUANUC
RNAcentral lists this ribosomal RNA (466 nucleotides) under uncultured bacterium. Its description in RNAcentral is "bacterial SSU rRNA". It matches the Rfam family "Bacterial small subunit ribosomal RNA", at positions 338 to 795 of the family's 1533-position model. The record is from RNAcentral.